GACGAACGCUGGCGGCGUGCUUAACACAUGCAAGUCGAACGGAAAGGCCCUGCUUUUGUGGGGUGCUCGAGUGGCGAACGGGUGAGUAACACGUGAGUAACCUGCCCUUGACUUUGGGAUAACUGCAGGAAACUGGGGCUAAUACCGGAUAGGAGCUCCUGCUGCUUGUUGGGGGUUGGAAAGUUUCGGCGGGUGGGGAUGGACUCGCGGCUUAUCAGCUUGUUGGUGGGGUAGUGGCUUACCAAGGCUUUGACGGGUAGCCGGCCUGAGAGGGUGACAGGCCACAUUGGGACUGAGAUACGGCCCAGAGUCCUACGGGAGGAAGCAGUGGGGAAUAGUGCACAAUGGGCGGAAGCCUGAUGCAGCAACGCCGCGUGCGGGAUGACGGCCGUCGGGUUGUAACCCGCUUUCGCCUGUGACGAAGCGUGAGUGACGGUAAUGUGUAAAGAAGCACCGGCUAACUACGUG
Molecule: ribosomal RNA, 468 nt
Filed under: uncultured bacterium
Lineage: Bacteria
Description: partial 16S ribosomal RNA
Rfam family: Bacterial small subunit ribosomal RNA
Source: RNAcentral